AGUGGGAUAACUGGGUCAUAUAUUGGUUCCAUUCAAGUUUUUUGAGAAAUCUCCAUGUUGCUUUCCAUAGUGGUUGCACUAAUUUGCAGUCCCACCAGCAAU
Molecule: microRNA precursor, 102 nt
Filed under: Marmota monax (woodchuck)
Lineage: Eukaryota; Metazoa; Chordata; Mammalia; Rodentia; Sciuridae
Source: RNAcentral